Molecule: long non-coding RNA, 575 nt
Organism: Poecile atricapillus (Black-capped chickadee)
Lineage: Eukaryota; Metazoa; Chordata; Aves; Passeriformes; Paridae
Exons: 3
Source: RefSeq, a predicted model, not a curated record
AGAAUCUACAGAAAUGCCUGAGCUCAAUCAGGAGAGAGACCCCAGAGGGCUUCAGUGUGGUCACACAGAGCAACAACAGAGAAAUCUCCCCCACUGGGUCCUGUUGAGGAUUAUACCCUCCUGCGGAUGCCCUGCUCUGGUAUGGCUAACUCUAGCUGCACACUAACCAGGUUGCUGUACUGGAAUCUCAAGGGUUGACACGUUCAUGCUGUUUCCUUGGGUCCUGUCACGGGUCACCACAGAGAAGAAAUCAGUGCCUGCCCCUCCUCUUUGCCUCAUGAAGAUCUUGAAGACCACAAUGAGGUCUCCCCUCAUUCUUGUCCAGGCUGAACAGACCAAGCGACCUCAGCUGCUCCUCAUAUGGCUUCACCUCCAGACACUUCACCAUCCUUGUGAACCUCCUUUGGCCGCUCUCUAAUAGCUUCAUUUGGUUUUUUGGUUUUUUUUUGUAUUGUGGUGCUGAAAACCUCACCUCAAGGUGAGGCUGUACCAGAGCAGAGUGGGACAAUCCCCUCCUUGGUGAUGAUCCCCUCCUGAUCACCAUCAGCGCACAACUUUCUGCUGUGUCUUUUCCU